Molecule: ribosomal RNA, 396 nt
Filed under: uncultured organism
Description: bacterial SSU rRNA
Rfam family: Bacterial small subunit ribosomal RNA
Source: RNAcentral
UGGCUUAGGCAUGCAAGUCGUGCGACGGGUAGCAAUACUCAUAGCGGCGUAAGGGUGCGUAAUACAUGGAUCAUUUACCCCCGAGACCGGGACAACCCCGCGAAAGCGGAGCUAAUACCGGAUGACGUCCGAGGUACGAUGUGCCUUUGACCAAAGCUAGCCUCUACUUGUAAGCUAGCGCUUGAGGAGAAGUCCAUGUCCUAUCAGCUUGUUGGCGGGGUAACGGCCCACCAAGGCUAAGACGGGUAGCCGGCCUGAGAGGGUGUACGGCCACACUGGGACUGAGACACUGCCCAGACUCCUACGGGAGGCUGCAGUCGAGAAUCUUUCGCAAUGGGCGAAAGCCUGACGAAGCAACGCCGCGUGUGGGAUGAAGGUCUUCGGAUUGUAAACCAC